GACGAACGCUGGCGGCGUGCCUAACACAUGCAAGUCGAACGGGGCAGCAAUGCCCAGUGGCGAACGGGUGCGUAACACGUGAGGAACUUGUCCAUCGGCGGGGGAUAGCCGGCCCAACGGCCGGGUAAUACCGCGUACGUCGGCGAGACCGCAUGGUCUUGCCGGGAAAGCAGCAAUGCACCGAUGGAGAGCCUCGCGGCCUAUCAGCUAGUUGGUGAGGUAAUGGCUCACCAAGGCGACGACGGGUAGCUGGUCUGAGAGGAUGAUCAGCCACAUUGGGACUGAGACACGGCCCAGACUCCUACGGGAGGCAGCAGUGGGGAAUAUUGCGCAAUGGGCGAAAGCCUGACGCAGCGACGCCGCGUGUGGGAUGACGGCCUUCGGUUGUAACACUGUCGCGAGGGACGGAAGAUACUGACGGUACCUCGAAAGGAAGACACCGGCUAACUCUGUGCCAGCAGCCGCGGUAAAGUACACGUCG
This 481-nucleotide ribosomal RNA is filed under the name uncultured bacterium. RNAcentral describes it as "bacterial SSU rRNA". It matches the Rfam family "Bacterial small subunit ribosomal RNA", at positions 28 to 536 of the family's 1533-position model. The record is from RNAcentral.